RNAcentral lists this ribosomal RNA (601 nucleotides) under uncultured Pseudaegerita. RNAcentral describes it as "eukaryotic LSU rRNA". The stretch from base 239 to 392 matches the Rfam family "5.8S ribosomal RNA". The record is from RNAcentral. Lineage: Eukaryota; Fungi; Ascomycota; Leotiomycetes; Helotiales; Hyaloscyphaceae.
CUUGGUCAUUUAGAGGAAGUAAAAGUCGUAACAAGGUUUCCGUAGGUGAACCUGCGGAAGGAUCAUUAAAGAAUCGCCCCGUUUUUCCGAAAAUGGGUUCUAUUCCCACAACCGUGUAUACAUACCUUUGUUGCUUUGGUGGGCCGCCCCUUGGGGCGUUGGCUCCGGCUAACUGCGCCCGCCAGAGGACCCAAACUCUUUUUUAUUUAGUGAUGUCUGAGUACUAUAUAAUAGUUAAAACUUUCAACAACGGAUCUCUUGGUUCUGGCAUCGAUGAAGAACGCAGCGAAAUGCGAUAAGUAAUGUGAAUUGCAGAAUUCAGUGAAUCAUCGAAUCUUUGAACGCACAUUGCGCCCCUUGGUAUUCCGAGGGGCAUGCCUGUUCGAGCGUCAUUAUAACCACUCAAGCCUCGGCUUGGUAUUGGGGUUCCGCGGUCUCGCGGCCCUUAAAAUCAGUGGCGGUGCCGUCUGGCUCUAAGCGUAGUAACUUUCUCGCUAUAGGGUAUAGGCGGUUACUUGUCGGAAUCCCCCUAUUUUUAUAAGGUUGACCUCGGAUCAGGUAGGGAUACCCGCUGAACUUAAGCAUAUCAAUAAGCGGAGGA